This 19953-nucleotide long non-coding RNA is filed under the name Coffea arabica (coffee). RNAcentral describes it as "long non-coding RNA (CARA_LNC002455)". The record is from RNAcentral. Lineage: Eukaryota; Viridiplantae; Streptophyta; Magnoliopsida; Gentianales; Rubiaceae.
UUUUUUUUUUUUUUUUGUGUAAACAAAGAACUCCUGUCUUAGGCGUGGUCACGUCUAACUGCUAUAGAGUCCUCAGAACCUGCACGAAAAUUUCUUCCCCUCGGGCGUGACCACCUGGCGUGGGCACGUCUAACUGCCAUGGAGUCCGCAGAUCCUGAACGAAAAUUUCUUUCCCUCAGGCGUGACCACCUGGCGUGGGCACGUCUAACUGCCAUGGAGUCCGCAGAUCAUGAACGAAAAUUUCUUUCCCUCAGGCGUGACCACCUGCCGUGGGCACGUCUAACUGCCAAUUUCCUAUCACCAACCAUCAACCUAUUAAUUGACAUUAACACUUAACUAAAACUUCAAAAAUGUAUAAAAACUGAAACAAAUAGUCUUGGGUUGCCUCCCAAGUAGCGCCUUUCUUUAAUGUCUUUGGCUAGACAUUGAACACCACUCUUCAAUCUGGGUGUAACUCAAUUUUCCUGGAAAUCGGUGGCCCUCCCCCAGGAUCCAAAUAGCCUUUGAGUGCAGCCUUCUUUCUUAAUUUUCUACUCCUUUUCACCUCAUACAGUGCUUUCAUCCCCUUAUACUUGUUCUCAGUAAGUUUGAAUUUAUCCCUACAAGCAAACUCAGAAAAUUCUUGCACAGAGGGAUUAAUAGCAUGAAUAGCAAACACAGGGUGAGAGUUAACAGGAUGUUUCAUUGUAUCGAAAAUAUUAAAGUGGACUAGUUCUCCAUCAAAUUCCAUGGACAAUGUACCCUUAUUAACGUCAAUUUUUGUCUGUGCUGUGCUCAAAAAGGGUCUACCUAGUAGCAAAGGUGAGGGGUCAGGGGAAUGAUCAUCAUCCAUGUCAAGUACAUAAAAGUCAGCCGGGAAUAUCAAUUUAUUAACUUUAACCAGCACAUCCUCGACCAACCCAUCAGGGUAUGCAUUUGUUCGGUCAGCUAAUUGAAUUAUUAUCUCGGUUUCUUUUAAUGGACCGAGAUUCAGAGAAGCAUACAUAGAUUUUGGCAUUACGUUGAUCGAUGCUCCUAAAUCCAGCAAGGUAUUUCUAAUCAGAGUAUUACCUAUCUUGCAUGGGACAGUAAACCUACCUGGAUCCCCACACUUUGGUGGUAGCUUUCUUUGGAGAACUGCUGACACAUUCUCCCCAACAAUAACUCUUUCAUCUCCCCUCAGCCUCCUUCGAUUGACACAUAGGUCCCUCAGAAAUUUUGCAUACUUCGGCACUUGCUUGAUGGCGUCUAGUAGGGGGAUAUUGAUUUCUACCUUGCGAAACACCUCCAGGAUCUCUUUCUCCUUGUCCUGCUUCUUCGAUUUUUUCAACCUGCAAGGAAAUGGAGGGGGAUUAGUUUUAACUGUAAUUACUGGGUCUGGAAGUACCUUUAGAUCUGCACCAUUGCUGUCCUCCCUCUCAAGUUCAUUUUCGAUCUUUUCCUCAUCCUUAUCCUUAGGGAUCAUAGGUUCAGGCCCCUGAAUUUCCUUCACGCUCCUUAAAGUCAUUGCGCUUACGUUCUUCAGGUUCAGUUCAGGUUGGGAUGGCAAUCUUCCAUUUACUUGGGACUCCAAACGGUUGAUUGUUGUGGCCAUUUUACUUAUCUGACUCCUUAUAUCCUGCAUUUCGGAGUCCGUCCUUUGCUGAUUUUGCAUAAUGGUUGCCUCCGUCCUUUGCUGAUUUUACGCCAUGGUUGUCAUCAUUUGUUUCAUCAUCUCCUCCAAAGAUGGACCAGAGCUUGGGGGCGGAGGUGGUCGGGGUUGGUAUUGUUGCUGGUACCCUGGUGGCUUAUUUGGCACAAAGUUAGACUGCCUGUUCGGUGUAAAGUUGGGUUGCCUAUUCCCUCCAUAACUGAGGUUGGGAUGAUCUCUCCACCCGGGGUUGUAGGUGCUUGAGUAAGGGUCGUACUGCUUCCUUGGCGCGGGCGCGUGAUCAGCCAUGUUCACAUGUUCUGCAGUUUCUUCCUGAAUCAUUGGGCACAUAUCUGCAGAGUGACCUAUACCAGUGCAAAUCCCGCAUACCCUGGCUUGUGAUGCAUUUCUCACAGCCUGUUGCCUAACAAACGCGGUCAACUCAGUUAGCUGCUGCUGCAUGGAGGGUGUCUCUACCUCAUUCACCCUGCGUAUUGGAACAUCCUCUCUCGUACCGAAUUGUUGUGAAUUCUCUGCCAUCCCCUCUAUUAACUCCCGUGCUUCCUGAGGGGUUUUGUUCACCAGUGCCCCUCCACUUGCAGCAUCAAUUAUGCUCAUGUCUCUAAAAAGGAGCCCCUCAUAAAAAUACUAUAUGAGCAACUGCUCACUUAUUUGGUGUUGGGGGCACAUUCUGCACAACUUCUUGAACCGUUCCCAAUACUCAUAGAGUGACUCCCCUGGGUGCUGCUUGAUCCCGCAAAUUUCUUUCCUUAGACUCGCAGCCCUGGAUACAGGAAAAUAUUUAUCUAAAAAUUUUUUCUUUAAUUGGUCCCACGUGGUGAUGCUACCUGGUGACAGGUAGUACAGCCAAUCCUUCGCAGAAUCUUUCAAGGAGAAGGGAAAUGCCCUCAUUUUUAUCUGCUCUUCUGUAAUGUCCGGGGGCUUCAUACUGUUGCACACGACAUCAAACUCCUGCAGAUGCUUAUACGGCUCCUCACCUGGUAAACCAUGAAAAGAGGGUAAAAGAGAAAUCAGGCCAGAUUUUAACUCAAAUGAAGUGUUUUCACUCAAACUCGGGAAAGUAAUGCACAAAGGCUGCUGAUUUAAAUUAGGGGCAGCCAACUCCCUUAAUGCUUGUGCAUUAGCCAUGGGGAUUUCUUCUUGCUCCGAGUCACUCGAAGUGUUACCAAAUGAAUCUGUUGGUUCAACUCCUGACUCAGGUCUCUGAGAUGUAGCACUGGAGUGCUUCUCUCUGAGCUGUCUGGUUUCCUUUCUCGUUCUACGCGCGGUCUUCUCUACUUCAGAGUCAAAAAUCAAAUCACCUGUACGAGAAGACCGAGGCAUACACUAGAAAAAUACCAGAAAAUUAGAACAAAAAUGAAUUUAAAAAGAAACAAAUUAUAACGCCAGUCCCCGGCAACGGCGCCAAAAAUUGACAGGUGCCGAACCUGUGCAAUAAUAAUAAUAAAUAUAGAACCUAUCUACCACUAAAAGCAGUCAAUAAUUAAUCCUAAGUACUGGAGCAGGGACUCUAGGUGUGCAAUGGGUUACUUGAUUCACCCUGUUCCCGAAGAGUUUGCUUAACCCGAUAUACCAGAAUUAAUUAGUUGGCAGAAAUUACUGAAUAGUAGACAGUGGCAAGUAGGGUCGUCUCCUCAGGGACUGGAGAUAUCUGUCUCUUUUAAAAUCCAAUUGAUUAGGGGGGAUUUCACCGGAAUGAAACUAAAAACAAUUAAACAAUUUUGACUAAAAUGAAUAAAUAACUAGCACAAGUAUAGCAGGAAUUUAAUCAGGAAUAAAUAAAUUCUAGUCAAGGAUACAACUACUCAGGCGCAGUUCAAUCAUCCGAUCAUUGAUGCAAGAGAUGUUCACUUAAUGUAUUAAUAGGCUAGUUAUAGUCUGACGACCAAUUUUUCCUUAAAUUAUUGAUAACCAAGGUACGACCGUUGAUUACCCCUAAUCAGCAAAUACUCCUAGGUACGACCAUAGGAAGUAAUUUUCCAAUUGCAUUAAUAACUAGAAAAACCUAGCCCUAAUCAAUAACACGCUACGAGGGUUAUUUAAAUUAGAUCGCAUGUUCCCCUAAUGUGUAAACACACCAGUUGCCACUAAUAUUAAUCAAUCAAACAAUUACGGAUUUAAUUGACUAAAUUAGCACGAGAUUAAUAAAUCACAUUGAACAUCGGGCCCUUGACAUCCAAUUAAUAAAAUAAUCCCAUGAAAAUUCAAGCACACAACGUGCAAAUAUUAAUAAAUAAAGGAACACGUGAAAACUAAUUAGAUCUCACAGAUUUUCGGGACUGCGCCGUCGAGUUGACCCUUGACUAGAUGGAAGGCUUAGCCACGCCGCAUAAUUAAAUCACCACACGAAUUAAUAAAUUGCAAAGGCAUUGCGUUUUCUAUUAGGAAGUAAGGAAUAAAAGGUGUUUUUCCCGUUGGGGAAUAUUGUCGAACACCUGGCGUGUGUCAGAGGCCAGUCAGGAGAAGAAAAGAAAAACUAAAGACUAGGCUAAAAACUAAACUAAAAGAUAAACUAAAACUAGAGAUGUCUUCCUUCCUACGUUAUCCCUAUUUAAGAGACAAAAGAAAGAUAGACUAAAGCUAUCUAGGUGGUCCCCACACAUGUGGACAAAGCCUCCAAAGUACUUCUUCUCCCAAGUCUCUUUUCCAUAGCUUUCUUUGAAAAGCCCAAAUGACUUAUAGCUUUGUGGUCCCCACCAAUCCAAGGGCCCAAGGAUUGAAGCCCUUAGAAGUCUCCAUAUUCUCCAUAAAGUCCCUCCUUUUUGGUAGUUUUCUGCUUCAUUCCUGAAAUUAAGUCCAGAUACCAAAUAUGAGUAAAUAUCAGCAAUUAACACAAUAUUUAUCAGGGAUAAAAGGGGAAAUAAAUAAUAAAAUUACUAACAAAUUAUACCCUAUCAGAACUCAAAGAUACUUAGUUUAUAUAUAUAUAAUUUGAGUAAAUUUUAUAUACACUGAUAAUAUAUACACUAUCAUCGUUGGAUUCAUGACAUGUGUGCAAAAGUUGAAUUUCAAAUUCAAAUUUUGCACAAUUGUCAUUCAUUCAAUGCUAUAGUAUAUACAUUGUUAGUAUAGAAAAGAUUAAUCCAUAUAAUUUUUAUUUAAUAGUGAAAUUAUAUAUAUAACCUAAAUUUUAUUAUUUGUUAAGAAAAAUUACUAUUUUAUUCUUUUUUAAAAAUAAAAUAAUUAUUUUUUAUUUUUUAAACUCGAGUUCGAACUCAAAUUUUACAUUGAAAGCUCAUCGAACUCAAACGAGAGCUCAAGUUUUAAAUUUGGUAAAAUUGAAUUGAAACUCGACUCAAUUAAGUCAAAAUUUGAUUUGACUCAACUUGGUUGCAUUCUUAUUUGAAAGGUGCACGAGUUUUUAGGAGGUAUCAUUUUGGUAUUAGAAUUUCCUGAAAAUGCAAUCUUUAAAUUUACUUCAAAUACUUUCCACUUUAACCCUUUUUUUUUUUUUACUAUUAUAAGUGUAAAUGAGUCUAAUCAAAUCGAACAUCCUAAUAUUCAAGUUUAAUUAUUUUAAUGAGUUUGAAAUUUUCAAAUUUAAUUUAUUUAUUUGUUGAAUCAAACUUAAACGAAUCUUUUAUUGAAUUUGAAAUUUAUCGAGCUCUUCAAUGACUUGUUGGCGAACCAAAUUAGAAUGAACUCUCGUCAAAUCAAAUUGAGUAUGAUUCUUGUAUUGAGUUUUUGAUUAUUUUUCAACCCUAUUUACUAUCCUUUGUCAUCUUGGGGAGCAAAAAAACUAUAAAUUUAUUCCUUUCUUGGUGAUCCAAUAACCCGUUUUAUCCUCCUCUGGCUUUUCUUUUCCUUUCUUUUCUGACUCCAAUCCAAGGGCCCAAAUUCACUCGCAUCCGAUCAACGGUCAAAUUUCAUCCUCCACCUUUCCCAGAAGUGGUAUCAUCUCCCAAAGCAUCUUCUCAGUCGAUAUUCCUCUCAGAUUCCCCCCAGUCCCGGGUGCCCGUGUUUCGCUUUUCCCAACAAUCCAUCCCGGCCCCCUCUUUCCCUCUCCUUCUUUCGCUUUCUCGCACCUUGAUCGGAGACGGAAACUAUGGAGAGUAAACCCCAGAAGCCAAUUCCCAUGAAUGACCCCCCGACGGACCGCCCUGUUCGUGUUUACGCAGAUGGAAUUUAUGAUCUCUUCCACUUCGGCCACGCUCGCUCCCUUGAACAAGCUAAAAAAUCGUAAUGAUUUCUUAUUUUUCUAAUCUAUUUGCUUUUAAAUUUGAGAAUUUUUUUUUGGAGCGGGUGACUUAGUUCUUCUUUAUUUUUUAAUUUUUUUGGGUGAUCUUUGGGCAGUAUGGGAUGUGGUUUGGGUUAUUUUGGUAGCUUGUCAUCUCAAGCGUUUUGAUAAAAUGUGUCUAUGAGAUUUGGUUGAUUUAAAGUUAGAAUUGAUAGUGCAAUGUUGGCCUGCUUUCUUAUGUAGGGGAAUAUUGGUAGUGGGGAUUGUAUUUUCUUCCUAUGAGGUUGAUCCGUGUAAUACGAUGCCCAUAUGAUUCUAGAAUUGUGGAAAAGGAUGAUAAAGAAACCAUCUUGAAGGAGGCAGCGUUGGAGCUGAUUUCAUACCAUGUACAUGUGCCGUUGUUUGCCUUGAAAAAGCGUGGAUUAGUAAGAUAUUGACCACAAUUAGAGCGUUAAGGAACUUAAAAUUAGAGUUGUUAGGAUCAGCCGUGGUAUUGGGACAGACUGCUUUUUGUUCAUGUAAAGCUUAUGAAAACCAGGGUAGCAUUCUAGUUAUUCUAUCUAUCAUUUUCUUCCUGAAUGUUGUAUAUAUUCUCGAAUAUUUGACUGCAAUAUUUCCUUGGCAGUGUUAUAAUUAUGUUGAAUUGUGGAUAUCAUGAUUAAUUGCCUUUUUUGUCACUCCUUUUGGUAAUUGUGAUUAUGAUUGAUUAUUUUCUAUCCAGGUUUCCCAACACCUAUCUACUUGUAGGAUGUUGCAAUGAUGAAGUCACCCACAAAUAUAAGGGUAAAACAGUUAUGACUGAUGCGGAGCGAUAUGAAUCUCUCCGGCAUUGCAGGUUGAUGUGAAGUAAUUUCUGUUAUUUAAGCUCUCUAUAUGAAUGGUGGUUUGAUUCAUUAUGUAAAUCCUAAUAGACGAGGAAGUGGUUUGAUUCAUUAAUUAAAUACUAAUAGAUGAGCAAAGGGGAUGUUGAACGAGGAGCCAGUGCAUUUUCUUUUGAGGCUAGUUUUACAUCUCCUUUUAUCUAGGCAUUUAUUUAUGCAUUAGGUACUUUUCUCUUGUGUAGCUAUUUUCUUCAGAUGACUUAUGGACUUUUGAAGCAGUGAAUAUUACCACCUCAAGGAUAAAUACUUCAAUUAAACUUUAGUAUAGUCUUCCUUCCUUCCUUUUAUUUUUUAAACAUUUUUUAAUUCUUUUACUUUUUAUACAUUGGAAGGUAAAGGGUAUGCAAAAAGACAAGAACUUGAGUGCUGUUAUUUGUUUCUUUCAUUAGAACUUCAUUUGCAAUUGCCUCUUGCUUGUUUUGUUUGCUGCAUCCUCUUUAUGCUCGAGGAUACGGUUGCAACUAUGAAAAAUUUUGUUCUGCUUUGUUGUCCAGACAAACUUCUAGGUCUUUCGACUUCCUCAGAACAGACAGCCAAAGAAGUCAAAUGAGUGAGAAAGAGAUAGAGUACCUUGAUAUGCACCAGUUCUUAUAGGAGAGAGUAGACCUCUGAUUAAGUUCAAGCAGUCAUUUUUUAUUUAUGAUGGGGUAGCAGAACGAUAUUCUUUCCUUUGACCAUCCAGCAUUGUUGGGAUAACACUUUUAUUCUGCAUUGUGAACAGAAGCUUCCCUUACUAAGAAAGAAGGAAGCAUCUGUUCCCACGUUAGUUUCACCAUUGUCCCCUUCAAAUUCUAUUUUUGAAGUAUCAGAUUUAUUUGCUGGAAGUCACAGCUUCAAAGGGGUUGACCACUGAGAUUUUUUCAAAUAGGGCUUUAGUUGGGAACCUUAUCAAAUGUGUGUCUUGGAGCUUUUGCCUUGUAGCUAAAGUUAUAGAGAUAGAGAAUUCUUGGUGCUUUAGUAAGCUAGAUUGAUAGUUAAAAUCAAAAUUUCUGUUAUAUCCUGUUGUCCUGUACUGUUGCAUUUUCAGUGCAAGCUUGUGUUUAUUUGUCUAUUCUUUCUAACUUCUUGUUCCUUAUAGGUGGGUUGAUGAAGUUAUUCCAGAUGCCCCUUGGGUGACUACACAGGAAUUCCUUGAUAAACAUCAGAUCGACUUUGUGGCACAUGACUCUCUUCCGUAAGGUUUACAAACCCAAGAACUGUUUAUUAUGCUUGCCUCUAUUGGCCUUUUGGCGUAGAUGAAGUCUUCUUCAAACCUUCAAAGUGUAGGUUGUAUAAAAUCUGUUAAACAUGGUUACAGGAUAACCAUGAUAUAUAAAGACCCAGCAUGGUUUCUGUGAAACUAAAAAGGAUGUACAUUUGUGAAAUAAUGUGGCUAGACUAUAAGGCACAUAGUUCAUGUCCUCUGCUGCUACCUCUUGAACCAAGUAUGAAAAAAAAAAAGAAAGGAAAAAGAUAAGAACUUAGAAAAUCUCUGCAGUACCAUACUUUUUUGCUUGGUUUCUUUUUCUUGUAUACUUGUAUGUUGAUAUUCUCUCUUAAUGUCAGUUAUGCUGAUGCAAGUGGGGCUGCCAAUGAUGUCUAUGAAUUUGUAAGUGCAAAUUGUCAUUACCAUGCAGGCUAGUGCUUUUAAUUAUUGUGGCUGCUAUUAUUGCUUCUAUCUUUAUUACUUUGUUCUCUUGUUUGAUUAAUACCUAUUUGGCUGCUAUAUGUUUGGUUUCUGUUACUUUUCUAGACAAUUUGUUUGCCUGCUCGUUGUUUCUCUUCUAACUUAUCCUCUAAUUGGCUUUUUCCUUUCAAGCUGCUUAACUGCUAUGUCAGUCUUAAAUCCUCUCGUGCUGCCUAGAUGACUGUUUUGAUAUGAAAAUCAUAUGUCAAAAUCUUAUUUUAGGUUAAGGCUGCUGGAAAGUUUAAAGAGACAAAGCGAACAGAAGGAAUCUCAACAUCAGAUCUUAUAAUGAGGAUAGUGAAAGAUUAUAACGAAUAUGUGAUGCGGAACUUGGACCGGGGUUACUCAAGAAAGGAACUGGGUGUGAGCUAUGUCAAGGUAGAGUUACACGUCUUGGCUGAUUAGUUGAACGUCUACAAUGUCCAUUACCAUCUCUCUCGUUGGGAUGCGUAUUGAGUGCUUUCUCAUUUUAAUUGAAGGAAAAAAGAUUGAGGGUGAAUAGGGGGUUAAGAAAGUUGCAGGAGAAAGUGAAGAAGCAACAAGAGAAAGUGGAAGAGAAGGUAUGCAAGUCUUGUUGCCAUAUUGAUGUUAUCUUUAACAUAUAGUGUAAUGUAGUGAAGAUGAAUCAUGAUAUGUUGUAUCUGGCCAUAAUAACCAUUCUAUUUCAUCAGAAUAAGAAAAUAGUAGCCUAACAUAUUCAUUGGUUGCAAAUUUGCAAUUUUAUGUUUUAAUGAUCUAUAUGAAUUUGGAAGUGCAAUUUCAGUCGGUUAUAUUUUUGUUCACUUUGGAGCUCAAAUAAAUUAGGCGCUGCAAAUUUGGACUUGUGACAUUUAACUUCUACAGUGUGGAACCAUGAGAAGGGAGAUUGGAAUUUUGCUAUGUGAUAGUGGCCCUCCGAAUUAUGAACUAAUGUUCUAGAAUUUGUUUAAAAAAACUUUCUACACUAGUGAAUCAUCAGAAGAGGGAAAAGAAGAUGACGAAAAUGAAUUUGUGCCAGGCCAUUGACUUUCAAAGAAAGUAUGAAGAUGUCUGCAUAACAGAAAAGUACUGUUGUGGAUUUUGCUGAUAAAAAUUAAGCUGGCAUAUGAUAGUUUUAAUGGAACAGCAGAUCAUAUAAUGGUAGAACUGCCUCUAAUGUCUUUGGAGUGUUAACAGGAACCUUUUGGUGAGCUCUAGGCAAAGAGAGCAAGCCCUCUGGUAAUAUUGACAGUUUGGCAGCAUUAUAAUGCCAAGAAAAUACACUGUAAUUGGUGAAUCUAAGUCUACAUCAGUAAGAUCUUCAUUGAGGAGUUAUAUGCUUGGAUUUCUCACAUGGCGUGUGAUUCCCUUGCAUAAUUUUUUUCCUCUCAAUAAAUUAAGUAAUAUUGAACAUUGCCCAUGCUUGAUACAAUUGACAAGCUUGAGUUAUAUCACGGACUUAAAUUUAUUGGUAGUCAAUAUCUGUUUUGAAACACUACAGUUUUUCAAAUUAAUCUGUCAUUUUUUAGUUCAAACCAUGAUUACUAGGAAUUUUUGUGAUCAACUGUCAAUUCUUUGUUGUGUUGCGCAGCAUUACUGAGCUUUGUAAGUUUUGUGUUUCUGAGGAGGCUCCAUCUCCAUGUGGAAUGCUUUCAGCUUUUUCCUGUACAACGAGUGUUCCCCCCCCCCCCCCCCAAAACACCAAACUCUUUUUCCAGCUAUAUUUGAAUUACUGUAAUUCUUUUCUCUGUGAAUCUUCAGAUGCAAACAGUGGCAAAACAUCGUAACAUAUGGGUGGACAAUGCUGAUCGAUUGGUUGCUGGGUUUCUUGAGAUGUUUGAAGAAGGUUGCCAUAGAAUGGUAAUUAUGUCAUUGUCAUUUUUUGUAUCAUGAAGAUCUAAGAAAAAAUUUGUUGAUAGAGUACAAUUUUUAAGCUUGUGCCCUCUGUAUAGGAAGUGUGUGGUAGGAAAGGGUAGACAGGACUUAAUAACAUGCUACACUUUUGAUUACUGAAAUAAGUGUCAGAUUUGCUUCUGGGAUUAGACUUUAUUUGGACAUUUCUCCAGGGAACUGCCAUCAGAGACCGGAUUCAAGAACAAAUAAGGACAAAGAAUAUACGGGGACUGAUAUACGAUAAAGAAGAUGAAGAUGACUACGAGGAGGAUGAUGGGUAUUAUUACGAUGGCAGUACGGAUGAUGAAUACUAUGAUGAUGAGGGUGAGGAAUGACCUCCUCAUCAUCCGAUGUUUAGUUCGAAAAGGUGGCUGUCAUAUUCAGCUGCAACACAUGGAGUGUGGUCUGGAUCAAGACUUAUAAGUGUUUUUCUGCUUGCCUGUUUCAAAAAAUGUCUACCCCACAUGCAUCAGUUUUGAUGUGUCCUUGUGCAUCAGAAAGUGCUGUUUGUAUUUUUUGGGCUUCAUUUAGGUAUGUUUUGGAAAGUGUUCUUUGUAAUUUGUAGAAAAUAGCGCUGAUUAUUAUUCUUAACAGAACUCUUAGAAACUUAAAAAGUGUAAAACAGUUUUGGAAAUUAUAGAUAUUUAACGUGGAUGUUUGCUUGUUUCUACAAAUGCUUUAUUUAGUUGCCAGCCCCCCGUCCUCCCCCGGUUUUUGUACUUCUUGGUAUGCAUGGAUUGGAAUUUUUAUUGCGACAGAGUAACCGAAGGAUUGAACUAUUGCAUGUUCUUCAUAUUAACCUAUUGGAGAUUGAUUGGUAUGUCCAAUUCGAUGAAUUCUAUCAGCUGCAAAUAAUUUUCUCCUGUUGCUCUUUUGCUUCGGAUUUAGCUAGGAUUGGUUGAUGGUUAAUUUUUGGGGUAAAAAAAAAACAUGACAUGAUCCUUAAUAGGAAGUUGUAAGGCUAUAAAAAUUGUAAACUACCCGUUUAAACUAUUACCUCAGUUAAAAGGUGGCUGUAUUCUUGGUUAAUUGAUGUAUUACUAAAACCGUUUAUAGGCUGAGCACUCAAUAGAUGGAAAUGGUAUUUCAUCUAAACAUGAAACUUUUAGUUGCACAAUCUGGCCGCCAACAUUUCACGAUAGAGAAUUAAUCUGCAGUUCUGCAAGAAACACUGAAAUUAAUAUCUGAAACCAGAAUUUCAAUUUGCUAAAUGCGGUUAAGAGUUUCGCUACAUAUAUUCUCGAGCAUGAAAACCAGCUUAAAGCAAAAUGAAAUCAAUUUUUCUAAAGAUCUCAAACAAAAAUCUAGCAGAUUACUUUAAAGCCAACCAAAAUCUGCAUGAUCAGAAUUUCGGUUUUCUUUAAGAGGUAAGAAUUACAGUAGAUAUAAUCUAGAGGACCAACAAAACCAACUUAAGCAAAUUGAAUUCACGUUUCCAAAGAUAUCAAGCACUAAUUGAUAGUUGAGUAUCCAGAUUGAGCAAAACAUUCCAUUGCAUGGAGGUUGAAUUAAGAAACACAUCAUCUCACAAAUGAAUCGAGAGAAGAAUAAGUUACUGAAAUUUGUUUAUCUUACAAGUUCGGGGAGUAAUACAACAGAAUCCACAAUCAUACUCUUAUCAUCUCAAAUAUGAACUACUAAUAAGCACUUUGAUGUCCCCAGUUGCUUCCCUGAUUCUUUUUGCAGACUCUUCCGCAGAUUGUCUGCACCAGUGCACUUCAAUCAAUUCCAGUGUGCCUAUGUCUGCAAAAUCAUACGGGAUUUCCUUGAGGUCUUUGCAAUUUUGCAAGACAAGCCGUUCAAGUUUGGGAAGGUGAUCACAAGUAGCAUUCCAUUGAGAAACGUUCAGAUUGUCUAACUUCAAGAAUUUGAGUUCCUUGAACUGAUCUUCCUCCAUGUCCCAUGUCAGCCCCUCAAAGGCAUCAAGAAGUAAUUUGAGAACUUCCAGGUUGGGUAGUCUCCCAAUUGUUGAGAUAUGACUCCAUGGUAGACGAAACUUUGAAAGAGUCAAUUUCCUCAGAUUGGAAGGGAGAAUGAAUUCCCUGGUAAUAGCGCUUCCAUAGUAAGAUACAUUGAGUGACACCAAAUGAGUUAGAAAAUCUAAUCCUGGAAACUGAUAGGAAUUCUUCGAAGAACCCUGUGGAUGAAAGAAUAUGCAUCUCAGUUUCUGGAGAUUUGGCAACCUCUUUAUUAUUGAUUCUGUAUCUUCACCACAAGAGAGAGAGAGACAGGAAAGGCUGACCAAAUCACCCAACUUACAGCAGACUUCAAGCCCUUCAUCAUCCAAUGUGAAAGCAACAUGCAUAUUCACAUGAAGAUGCCUCAACCUUGUCAUGUGCCAAAUAGUAUCUGGUAAGACAACCUGACCACGUAAUCCCUUCAAAACAAAAGUUUCUAGUUUUCGGAGAUUGCCUAUGGAUUGUGGAAUAGUUUGCAUAUAACCAGUGAUUGCCAAAUACCUCAAAUGAACCAGGCAUGUAAUGUCAGCAGGGAAGGUGACACCCAGGUUGAUGCAUUCAAAAUCUAACACCCGCAGAAGUUUGAAGUUGUGCCAAAUGAAUGAGAUGUCAUAAGGACAUCUGGGCUCUGAAUCAGCUGAAGGAAAGAAUAUCAAAGAACGAGUACCCAGGCCAAAAGGUCUUGAUUUAAAAAAAUGGAGUCGCUUCAAAAAAAAGCACAAUCGGUAGGCUUCAUAUGUGACAGGAUCAGAAUGAUGGCCAAUUUCAAAACCAAAAUCUGAACUAGGAAAAGAUACAUAUGGCUCAUCAAACCUGGUUACUAGCCGGAAGAAGUUCUCUGCUCUGGCUUUUAACUGACAAAAAUCACGCAACAGAUCAUGCAAGCGACAUGAUUUGACCAUUCCGUUGGAUCUUCUUUUGGAGACUUCCACCAGGCUUCUGCUAAUCAACUCCAUCAAGUAACCCUCGGCAAUACCUUCUAAGCUCUUCAACUCAGAGUCAUGAAUGAAACCUUCAGCAAGCCAAAACCGUAUCAACUUGCUAACAGGAAUAUCCUUGUCUUCAAGGAAAACUCCCAAAUAAAGAAAGCACGGUUUUAGAUAUCCCGGCAAGUGUUUGUAACUCAAUUCAAAGAUUUCCAUGCACCGAGCUUUUGGAUCUUCUAUAACUUCAGCAAUCAAGCCUUUUGCAAUUUUCCCCCAUGAUGCUCUGCUCUUUUCUAUCUUUUGGAGGAGACCAGAUAUUGCAACAACAGCAAGAGGCAAUCCUUUACACUUUUUGGCAAUUUCCUUUCCAACAAGCAACAAUUCUUCGGGACAACCUUCACCAUGGAAUACUUUCUCUACUAAUAAGUUCCAGCUUUCAUCAUCAGAAAAUAAGCGUAGAGAAUGAGGAUCACUAUCUGGUUCAAUUUGCAAGGCCACAUCACGAAGGCGGCUGGUAAUCAAAAUUCUGCUUCCAUUGGCAUCAUCUGGGAAUGCAUUUCUUAACUCAUUCCAAACUCCAGCAUCCCACACGUCAUCCAUAACAAUGAGAAACCUGUUUCUCAGUAAGCACUGACGCAAUUUUAAUUGGAGAUCUUCGUUAGUCAUUUGACGAAUUUCAUCCGUAAGCCCGAGAAUGCCACGUAAAAUCUCCAGCAGCAGGUCUCUUUUGUCAUAUCCUUGUGAAACAGUACACCAUGCACGACAAUGAAAGUGAGACAAAACCUUUUGGCAGUUAAACAGUUUCCAAGCCAUUGUUGUCUUGCCAAUACCGGGCAUUCCCACAAGAGAAACAAUACCAAACUUUGAGGAUCCCUUGACAAGUUGAUCAGUUAUAGAUUGUUCUUCAUCUCUGGGAUCCACCACCAUUCCAUUGAUUGCUGGUGUAGCAUCCCGUGAUAUCACGUUGGGUGGAACCUGGAUGACGUGUUUGUUAUCUAGGACUUUGGCUUGAGGGGUCGUCAACUGAAUUCUAGAGGCUCGCUUAUUAACAAUUCUUAACUCCUCUAGUAGAUCAUAAACCAAAAAGAAACCUUGCCAUUGAGGAUCGACCUCAAUUGAGUCAAUGACAAACUCAAUUUUGUAAGCAAUAUUGGCAACAUGACCACCAAGAACUUUCACUUCUGGAUUGUUAUCAAUAUCCGACUCUGAGACUUUCAUGAGAAAAGAACCCAAAGACUUGAAAUGUAGAUGAAUUUCUUUUAUGUAAUUCCUGACUGGUUCAAUUGACGCAGGAUCAUAGUUCAGCAGUUCCUCCAGGCUUCCGAUGAGAAAUUCAACGAACCCUGGCUUGUCAGUCUUUGGAAAAUCAGACAAUGGAAAUGGGGGACUAACCACUCUGAGCGUAGACUUGAUAGGAUUCAGCUUAUCUUGCAGUCUAGAAGAUGAGAUGAUCAUAUUGUGGAUGGGUCCUGCCAUCCCUGCAUCAGAAGUUUCAGUUUGUGGGAAGAUCGUGUCCAUGUCCUUUGUCUCCUCCUUUAGCUGGUUGCAGAGAAGUGUGAAAAGAUUAAGGAGCACAAGAAGUGCAAUUUGAUCUUUUCGAUAAGCCUCGGAAUUUGCAGCACUACUCCUCUCCAGUUGUAACUUCUCAAAUAAUGCUUCUGCUUUGAAAACAACAAUGUUAAGAAGCAAUAGGAGAAUUGAGUUUCUCACCGUGGAUUCUGUGAUCUUCUUGGCCUCAAACAACUGAUGGAGAGAUGCUACCUUGUAGUCCACUUGUUUAAUGAGAGCCAAUGCCUUAUUCCCAUAUUCUGCCUCCCAAUGCGUAAGAUUUUCCAGAAAACGUAUCAAUUUUUUAGGCAUCCAUUGGACAUCACCUUUAACAUGAUUGAGCAGAUCUUUAGUUCGGAAAGUGCUCCCUUGAUUGUUACAGAAAAGCAUUCCCUUGAGGAAAAGCUCCGUCUGAAGAAGAAAAACAUUUAUACGUAGCUCAGAAUGGCCAUGGAUAUGUUGCUCGCCCUUUCGUUCCGUCUGUAAGAGGAAUUCCAGCUCUAUGAGCACCGUAUGAAUUUCUGCAAGGAAAAUUUGUAUAGUCUGAUCCUCUUCCUCCCCCUCCUCCUGUUGCUUCAGUUUGGUGAAGGCUAAAAGCUUUAACAGCCCAUAGAUCUCUCGAGAACAGAUCUCUCGAGUAUCUCUGAUCCUCACUUCAGUGGCAACAUAAUUGCUAUAAUGAGAGGAAAAAUCGGGCUUAACUCCUCCAAUUUUAUGGAGAGCCACAAGGAAAUGAAAAUGGAACUCCAUGAAUUUGGGAUUAGUAGGAUGAAUCUCAUGUUGCAAAUCCACUACAGAUUUAGUUAGCUUAAUCAUUUCUACCGUUUUGGUUUUGCCUUCGGUUUUCCCGCAGUGAAUCCGGUACUUAAGACUGUGGAUUGCAAUGCGCACCAUCACAGAUGCAACACGAGUCACGAAAUCAUUGAUAGCAUUUACAUCAUCACCACCUGCAGCAGCUGCUGCUGGGAAGUCGAGAUUCCUGGAUACACCUUCCAUGUAUUCCCCGAACAAUCUUAGCUCUUUGCGCCAGGCACCGAUUGGCUCGCUCCAUUUUGUAUCGUCCACAAUAUCGGCCAGAGUGGUUACAAAUUGUAGCCAAAAAGAAACAUCAGAUGGUGAUUGCAGUCGACACGACGACCACCCGGAUAAAUCCAAAAGGUGUUCAACAUCUUCUCCAAUCUCUUCCAUCCAUUUGAUGGAUUUACUGUAAUAAUCAUAGAGAGUUUUGCCAUUUACCGGGGAAAGCUUCAUCUGGGCGUUGUUCUUGUUUAUAAUUACAACAUGCCAACCAAUCUCCUCGGCUGCAGCUUCAAUCUUGACUCCCAUAUUAAGCAGCACGCGCUCUGCAUCUUCGUCUCUCAUCAGCUUGUGAAUUGCUUCCGAAAUUAACCUCAAAAGCUUCCAAUCUCCCAAGAUGCGAUCGCGUUGACGCCAGCGUACGCGGUGACUUUUGUUUCCACGCGCAACUGCAUCGAUAAAUUUGCUACUUCCCCGUACAGCAUCCAAGAAAAAAACUAUGAUAUCAAAGCUGGAAAUAGCCAUCUCCAGGUCCAGAAUUUUGAUCUCUUACUCAAGCAUACCAGUUCUGUCUGUCAGACUGAUCUGCAUAAACACAAAUGCUUUUGAUGUAUGUAUUAGGUGAAUAGGUGAUAUCGAGUGGAGGUGAUAUCGAGUGGAGUCGAGUGGAGUGCUCAAUUAUUGAAACAAAUAAACCUAAAAUAGUAAUUAAUUAUUGUAACAAAUAAACUUGAAAUUAUAAUUUGGAUAAUAUUAUUAUAAUAAAUUAAUAUUUAAUAUAAAACUUGAGUGGAGUGCUUGAUUGAUAAAGUUCGAACUCGAGUUGUUAGAGUUCAAAAAUUUUUGGAAAUAAUAGUAUAAUAAUUAAAUAUUUAAUUAUUAUAACAAAUAAAUUUAAAAUUAUAAAUUGAAUAAUAAUAAUAAUAUUUAAUUGAAUACUCGACAGAACUCGUCGAGCUCUUAAGUUUUUUUAAUAGCACCCGAACUUGACUCGAAAAUUCAAUUAAGUAACUUGAACUCGAUCAAUAUCGAGUUCAAUAAAGUAAUUAAACUGAACUGCUAGCGAAUUCGAGUCAAGCUGCUCAAUUAAAUCUCACCCUUAUCCCCAAUGGACCAGGGCCUCACAAUUUGAGGCAAUAUCCACUUCGGACACAUCCGGUCAAGAUCAAAUUGUGAUAAUGAGACAGCCACGAUUUAGUGGGUCGACAGCGCAGUAUCAAUUCGCAUGGGGAAAGAAAAAUCAAAAUUGAGGACUAAUGAAAAGACUAGAACUCAUUGUCCUCUCAUCAGAGAUAGAGGAGAAGAAUCAACGAUGAAGACUACUCAUUUCUGAGAAAUUUCUAACGAAAUCCAACAUAGGGAGAUAAAGUCUCAGACUCUUCAACUUUUUGGGAAGUGAAAUUUUGCAGCCCUACAAGUUCGAGAUUUAUUGAGGCUUUGCUUGUUGGUUCAUAAUUUAACAAAAAAAAAAACAAAAAGUUCUCAUAUCAUCAAAGUAUCAAGUAUGUUCUUGGGUUUUCAGAAUAUUCAUGGAUAUUGGAAAUUUUUUUCUUCGUUUAUUGUAAUUACAAGGGGACACAAAAGGCAUUUGGUUUUUUCCAUUCUUGUGAAGAAAUUCUCGAUAUUUAAUGACUGCUAUAAGAAGAAAAUUAGCAAAAAUGCUAACUCUCUAAUUAUCCAAAUCGAAUGGUAGAUUAGGGCUAUUAUAAUUUCUUGAUUGGCAUUGUUUGAGUUGGUCUUGUUAAAGAAGAAUUUAGAAAUCGUCAUGCCAGUGGUAUGUAUAAGAGUACGUAAAAACACCCUAAAGAAACUUGCCCCUUUUGAUUAUUUACACCAGUAGUCACAACUUUAAGUGCUGGCCAAUCUUGUUACUCUACAACCAUUUGUUGGACAAUGGACAUUGGUUAAUAAAUGGGCCUAAUGCAUAUGCAAACAAACUUAUUAAAGAAGACACACUUGCAAGCUAGAGUUGGCUUGAUAUUAUGCAGGCAUGAUCAAGGAUUCUUAAUUAGGUUCGACAAUUUUGCAAUAAAUUGGGUAAAAUAUCAAAAAACCUCUUGUGAUUUGCCGAGUGUUUAACUUAACUCCUUAUCGUUCGGAAACUUACAUUCUAAGCUCUCAUGGUUUUAACUAAAUUGGAAGGUGGAUAGAAACUGACUAAACUAAUGGUUGCAUCUAAAAUGUCAAAAUUGUCCUUUAUAAAUAAUAAGAUUUAAUGCAAAAAACUAUUUAUGAUCUGUCGAAUGUUCAACAUAACUUUUUAUGAUUUGGAAAUCUAUAUUCUAGCCUCUCGUGGGUUUAACUAAAUUGAAUUCAUUAUAUUAGCCUUCUUCUACUUCAUUCAAACAUUCUUGCUACAGCCAUUUCCCUUACUGGAAGAAUGUAGUUACUAAAGGAAUCAUUAAAAUUGUUUAUCGCGAGAAGCAAGGCUGUAGUUUCCGAAGCACAGAGAGUUAAGAAUACAUAUUAAAGAACUUAUUGAAAUUGUUUAUUACAGGGAGUUAGAAUGUAAGUUCUGAAGUUGUUAAAGCACUCAUUGAGAUUGAUUACUACGAAAGGCUAGAAUAUAGGUUUAUGAAGCAUAGAGAGCUAAGAAUAUAGAUACCAUGUUCAUCAACUAAGGCAUUGCCAAAAAAAAAAAAAAAUCAUGCAAGGUGCCCUUCCAUUGAUAUGCAGGUAUGACAAGUAAUUUUAGGUUAAGAAUUUUGUUUGUUUAGCUGUCUAUGUUUCAAUUGUAUUGUUGAGUACUUCUCUCACAUUCGUAAUUUGAGCAUUUGCACUCCUUUUAGGUGUGUAAAUAUCAUUUUUUAGUUGGCUUGAAAAGGUCUGAAUGUUUGUCACUCUCUGUUGUUCAUUAAUAUACAUUGAUAGUUCGUUGAACUCAAACUCAAGUUUAAAUUUGAUAAAAUUAGAUCGAAUCUCAGCUCGAUUCGAUUAAAAUUCAACUCGACUCGGUUGUAACUCUACCUAGGAGAGUUGUCCUUUAGAUUUAGUGACACUUUGUGUUUCUUGCUUUUAGGAAUGGCUAGGACAGCUUUUGGUAUUUCUCCAUGAUGCCCAAUUGGUAGAUUGCUUGUCAUACAUGAGGAAUCCAAUCUGCUGCCAGCAAUGCUCUCCAGAUAGCUCAAUUCAGCAGAACCCAUCUAGGAUUCGUUGUGGUUAAUUUUAGAUUGCACAAAUUUUGUUACCUCUAACAAUACAAGCCGAUAUGCUUCAAAAAAAAGUCUGAUAAGAAGACCUUUUUUUGGUGUAGUGAAACACUAUUUGCCAUGAUCCUCGUACAUGUAAGCUAGCCGCUCAAAUAUGAAUAUUAUGCUGAGUACUUCAAAAUUGGAACACUUGCUUCAGCGAAUUAGGUGCUAACUUUUGAGUCAAUGGCUGUCAACAUUUGAAGAUAGAGGGAUUGAAUGCAGUACUUCAAGAAACAAAGAAAUGAAUCUGCAUGAUUAGAAUUUCUGUUUGCUUUAAGAGGUAAGAAUUACAGUAGGUAUAAUCUAGAGGACCAACAAAACCAACUUAAACAAACUGAAUUCACCUUUCCAAAGAUCUCAAGCAAUAAUUGAUUGUUGAGUAUCCAGAUUGAGCAAAACAUUCCAUUGCAUGGAAGUUGAAUUAAGAAACACAUCAUCUUACAAAUGAAUCGAGAGAAGAAUAAGUUACUGAAAUUUGAUUAUCUUACAAGUUCGGGGAGUAAUACAACAGAAUCCACAAUCAUACUCUUAUCAUCUCAAAUAUGAACUACUAAUAAGCACUUUGAUGUCCCCAGUUGCUUCCCUGAUUCUUUUUGCAGACUCUUCCGCAGAUUGUCUGCACCAGUGCACUUCAAUCAAUUCCAGUGUGCCUAUGUCUGCAAAAUCAUACGGGAUUUCCUUGAGGUCUUUGCAAUUUUGCAAGACAAGCCGUUCAAGUUUGGGAAGGUGAUCACAAGUAGCAUUCCAUUGAGAAACGUUCAGAUUGUCUAACUUCAAGAAUUUGAGUUCCUUGAACUGAUCUUCCUCCAUGUCCCAUGUCAGCCCCUCAAAGGCAUCAAGAAGUAAUUUGAGAACUUCCAGGUUGGGUAGUCUCCCAAUUGUUGAGAUAUGACUCCAUGGUAGACGAAACUUUGAAAGAGUCAAUUUCCUCAGAUUGGAAGGGAGAAUGAAUUCCCUGGUAAUAGCGCUUCCAUAGUAAGAUACAUUGAGUGACACCAAAUGAGUUAGAAAAUCUAAUCCUGGAAACUGAUAGGAAUUCUUCGAAGAACCCUGUGGAUGAAAGAAUAUGCAUCUCAGUUUCUGGAGAUUUGGCAACCUCUUUAUUAUU